This 194-nucleotide ribosomal RNA is filed under the name Photorhabdus bodei. RNAcentral's name for it is "partial 16S ribosomal RNA". It matches the Rfam family "Bacterial small subunit ribosomal RNA", at positions 1 to 186 of the family's 1533-position model. The record is from RNAcentral. Lineage: Bacteria; Pseudomonadati; Pseudomonadota; Gammaproteobacteria; Enterobacterales; Morganellaceae.
UUGAAUUGAAGAGUUUGAUCAUGGCUCAGAUUGAACGCUGGCGGCAGGCCUAACACAUGCAAGUCGAGCGGUAACAGGAAAGUGCUUGCGCUUUUGCUGACGAGCGGCGGACGGGUGAGUAAUGUCUGGGGAUCUGCCCGAGGGCGGGGGAUAACCACUGGAAACGGUGGCUAAUACCGCAUAAUGUCGCGAGA